This 250-nucleotide ribosomal RNA is filed under the name uncultured bacterium. Its description in RNAcentral is "partial 16S ribosomal RNA". It matches the Rfam family "Bacterial small subunit ribosomal RNA", at positions 524 to 773 of the family's 1533-position model. The record is from RNAcentral.
GACGAGGGAUCCUAGCGUUGUUCGGAAUCAUUGGGCGUAAAGCGGGUGCAGGUGGCUAUGUAAGUCAGAUGUGAAAGCCCAGGGCUCAACCCUGGAAGUGCAUUUGAUACUGCGUAGCUUGAGUGCUGGAGAGGUUACUAGAAUUCUUGGUGUAGUGGUGAAAUACGUAGAUAUCAAGAGGAAUACCGGUGGCGAAGGCGGGUAACUGGCCAGACACUGACACUCAGACCCGAAAGCGUGGGGAUCAAAC